CACUGAGGUUUCCCAUGCUGCCAGUCAUGUCUUACCCACUGAGGUUUCCCCCAUGCUGCCAGUCAUGUCUUACCCACUGAGGUUUCCCCCAUGCUGCCAGUCAUGUCUUACCCACUGAGGUUUCCCCCAUGCUGCCAGUCAUGUCUUACCCACUGAGGUUUCCCCCAUGCUGCCAGUCAUGUCUUACCCACUGAGGUUUCCCAUGCUGCCAGUCAUGUCUUACCCACUGAGGUUUCCCAUGCUGCCAGUCAUGUCUUACCCACUGAGGUUUCCCCCAUGCUGCCAGUCAUGUCUUACCCACUGAGGUUUCCCCCAUGCUGCCAGUCAUGUCUUACCCACUGAGGUUUCCCAUGCUGCCAGUCAUGUCUUACCCACUGAGGUUUCCCCCAUGCUGCCAGUCAUGUCUUACCCACUGAGGUUUCCCCCAUGCUGCCAGUCAUGUCUUACCCACUGAGGUUUCCCCCAUGCUGCCAGUCAUGUCUUACCCACUGAGGUUUCCCCCAUGCUGCCAGUCAUGUCUUACCCACUGAGGUUUCCUAUGCUGCCAGUCAUGUCUUACCCACUGAGGUUUCCCCCAUGCUGCCAGUCAUGUCUUACCCACUGAGGUUUCCCAUGCUGCCAGUCAUGUCUUACCCACUGAGGUUUCCCCCAUGCUGCCAGUCAUGUCUUACCCACUGAGGUUUCCCCCAUGCUGCCA
Molecule: long non-coding RNA, 697 nt
Organism: Oncorhynchus keta (chum salmon)
Lineage: Eukaryota; Metazoa; Chordata; Actinopteri; Salmoniformes; Salmonidae
Exons: 4
Source: RefSeq, a predicted model, not a curated record